GUAGGGAAUCUUCGGCAAUGGACGAAAGUCUGACCGAGCAACGCCGCGUGAGUGAAGAAGGUUUUCGGAUCGUAAAACUCUGUUGGUAGAGAAGAACGUUGGUGAGAGUGGAAAGCUCAUCAAGUGACGGUAACUACCCAGAAAGGGACGGCUAACUACGUGCCAGCAGCCGCGGUAAUACGUAGGUCCCGAGCGUUGUCCGGAUUUACUGGGCGUAAAGCGAGCGCAGGUGGUUUAUUAAGUCUGGUGUAAAAGGCAGUGGCUCAACCACUGUAUGCAUUGGAAACUGGUAGACUUGAGUGCAGGAGAGGAGAGUGGAAUUCCAUGUGUAGCGGUGAAAUGCGUAGAUAUAUGGAGGAACACCGGUGGCGAAAGCGGCUCUCUGGCCUGUAACUGACACUGAGGCUCGAAAGCGUGGGGAGCAAACAGGAUUAGAUACCCCUGUAGUCC
This 450-nucleotide ribosomal RNA is filed under the name uncultured bacterium. Its description in RNAcentral is "partial 16S ribosomal RNA". It matches the Rfam family "Bacterial small subunit ribosomal RNA", at positions 354 to 796 of the family's 1533-position model. The record is from RNAcentral.